Molecule: small RNA, 626 nt
Filed under: Pongo abelii (Sumatran orangutan)
Lineage: Eukaryota; Metazoa; Chordata; Mammalia; Primates; Hominidae
Description: processed transcript
Source: RNAcentral
CCCAGACUGAGCUGGCGGUGAGUGGAGUCUGAGGUCGCUGUGGACUGCCCACUGGAUUGAGAAAAAUGAGGUCCUCUUUCUAGAGUACCUGGCAGGUUGCUUGGCAUCCAGAAGAUGUUUAGCUAAGUUAAGAGUUUUCUUCUUUCUUCCUUCUCUCCUCCAACCUUAACACCUAGAUGUGGGCUGGGCCUGUAGACUGCCUUGGAAUGGGUUGGAGCUGCUUUCUGAAACUUGUUGGGCUGCUCUCCCUUUUGAACCACUUUUUGUCUGUUCUGAUUCACUCUUCCAGGGCCUUGCCCGAGAUGGACAGCCGUAUUCCUUAUGAUGACUACCCGGUGGUUUUCUUGCCUGCCUAUGAGAAUCCUCCAGCAUGGAUUCCUCCUCAUGAGAGGGUACACCACCCAGACUACAACAAUGAGUUGACCCAGUUUCUGCCCCGAACCAUCACACUGAAGAAGCCUCCUGGAGCUCAGUUGGGAUUUAACAUCCGAGGAGGAAAGGCCUCCCAGCUAGGCAUCUUCAUCUCCAAGGUGAUUCCUGACUCUGAUGCACAUAGAGCAGGACUUCAGGAAGGGGACCAAGUUCUAGCUGUGAAUGAUGUGGAUUUCCAAGAUAUUGAGCACAGC